GGGUAGGUAACUCAAUGCAGUAAUUAAUUUUUGGAAGGAAAAAAAAAAGCCUAAUCCAUUACUGUCUUUUUGACUGUAUAGCUUAGAUUCUCUACACCUAUUCCUUUCCAGUUGGCUUUAUUUACCUUUAGCUAUCUUGAUACUUUCUUGGCCAAAUAUCCUGGACUCAGUGAUCAUUGUGACACAAUGUGGUGUAAGACAAAGUGGCUUCUUGCUAUGUAACUGCUAGCAUUCACACUAGGUAACCUCCCUUAGCCUCCUACCACUGAGGUGGUGGGUUUAGAUGGUGUCGUAGUGCCUUUGAUUAACUUAAGUAUUUAGCUUUCAUCUUCCUUAGAUCUCUUUGUCCUCCCAAUUGAACACAUUUCUGCUAAACAAUUUGGUCUUAUCUUGUGUAGAAAAAAGUUAAUAAAAUGUCUGUCAUGUGUGAAAAAAAAGAUUCUGUAAAGUUUGUUUGCUUGUUUUGUCAUUGUUAGAAUAAUACCCAAGAAAAACAAAGAUUUAUUUUGACUUCAGUGUUUUGGGCUCCAUUCUUGGAUGGAGAUAAAACCUUGUGGGAGAGCAUGAUAGUUCCAGUACAGCUGCUAAGUUGGGGACAGCAGGAACCCUUCAAAGACUGGCCUGAGUGGCCCAUUCCUCAGUUCAAGCCCUUCCUCUAAGAGUCCUCAAGAUUCAUUCACCUUUAGAAUGGAUUAUGUGGCAACUGAGCCUUCAGGGGGGACAUUUUAAAUUCAAAUCCUGGCAGUAUUCUAAAGCCAAGUGGGCAGUAAAGUUCCUAGCAAUUUUUAUUCAGAAGCCAUUGCAGUCGGGGGAAAAAGCAAAUGUAGAGUCAGGCUUUUUUUCCAAAUAAAUCAAGGACAAGGAAAGUUAGAGGUCAGGAGUAGGAUCAGAGUCACUGGAUGAAAACAUCAUCCAUGUAGAGGGAAUUUGUGCUUAAAUCUACUGACAAUCAUGGAGGCAAACCAGGGUUUAUGAGAUUUUUCAAGAUGUGAGAACCUCAAAACUCUGUAAGCAAGAUUCUUGUUAAAGCUGAGCUAGGCAGAGACAAACACAGGGCUGAAGGUUGAAACCUAAUAGAGUAGAUGAUUCUAAGAUUAAGUUUGGUUUUUAUCAUUCAUAGUAUUAGCUUUUCUAUAACUUGACUCAUCUGGGUCUUACUCUUCAGUUUACUAAGAGAUGUGGUGAAGCGUCCAGCUACAGUUAUGUCCUUGUUUGUCCUCUAAGUUGUACAUUUACAAAUACUCCUGAUUGUGUGUUUAUGCACACACUCCUGUGUUAGGUGUCCUUUAUUGCUCUCUAUUUUUUUGUAGCAGGGUUCUUCCCUGACUCUAGGCCUCCUGUUGGUUCAGGUAGGUGCAGGUCAACAAAACUAAACUGUCAUCUUGUCUCCAUCCAAGAGACAAGAAGGCUUGGAUUACAGGCAUGCACCUGGAUGCUCCACUUUACGUGGAUGCUGGAAUCCAAACUCUGGAUUCACGAUUGUUUGGCAGGUGCCCUUUCCAGCUUCUUUUCACCAGAAGUGUUUGAUGUUUAUAAGUUACAGCUUUUCAUAUUAGGAUCGUUUAUGUCUGGGGAGUGGGUUUGAUGCUUUUAUAUACUUUUUUAGAUUUAGAUUUUAUUUUUCAUUUUACUUUAUCUUGUUUACAUCCUUUUUUCCUACUCUGUCAAUUAUUUUGAGUCAUAUCAUUUAAAAAUGGCAAUUUGUGGACUGUUUUCAUGUUUGUGUGUUUUGUUAUUGCUUAGGUAUUAGUUGUUGGUGAAGCACAAGCAUCUAUAUACUCAUCAUAUAACUGAAAACAAUUUUGCCUUGUUUUACUUUCUUAGGUAGAAUUUGGAUUGUAAUUUCUUACAGAUAUCAAAUCAGAGUGUUAGAAUGGUGUUUUUCAUUGUCUCACUUGUGCAUACAAUCUAAAAUAAAUUUAAAUUUCUUUUU
RNAcentral lists this long non-coding RNA (1933 nucleotides) under Mus musculus (house mouse). RNAcentral's name for it is "long non-coding RNA chr12:57239834-57241767". Lineage: Eukaryota; Metazoa; Chordata; Mammalia; Rodentia; Muridae. The record is from RNAcentral.